Molecule: non-coding RNA, 23 nt
Filed under: Cricetulus griseus (Chinese hamster)
Lineage: Eukaryota; Metazoa; Chordata; Mammalia; Rodentia; Cricetidae
Source: RNAcentral
AAGGAUGGUGGGAUUCAAACUCU